UCGCUUCAGCUGCACAUAUGCUGAGACUGGAAUGAUACAGAGAAGAUUAACAUGGCCCCUGUGCAAAAACGACAUGCAAAUUUGUGAACCAUUCCAUAUUUAA
Molecule: small nuclear RNA, 103 nt
Organism: Mesocricetus auratus (golden hamster)
Lineage: Eukaryota; Metazoa; Chordata; Mammalia; Rodentia; Cricetidae
Source: Ensembl